UGCGGACAUACAUUACCAUGCAGUCGAACGGCAGCAUAGGAGCUUGCUCCUGAUGGCGAGUGGCGAACGGGUGAGUAAUAUAUCGGAACGUGCCCUAGAGUGGGGGAUAACUAGUCGAAAGACUAGCUAAUACCGCAUACGAUCUACGGAUGAAAGUGGGGGAUCGCAAGACCUCAUGCUCCUGGAGCGGCCGAUAUCUGAUUAGCUAGUUGGUGGGGUAAAAGCCUACCAAGGCGACGAUCAGUAGCUGGUCUGAGAGGACGACCAGCCACACUGGGACUGAGACACGGCCCAGACUCCUACGGGAGGCAGCAGUGGGGAAUUUUGGACAAUGGGGGCAACCCUGAUCCAGCAAUGCCGCGUGAGUGAAGAAGGCCUUCGGGUUGUAAAGCUCUUUUGUCAGGGAAGAAACGGUAGUAGCUAAUAUCUAUUACUAAUGACGGUACCUGAAGAAUAAGCACCGGCUAACUACGUGCCAGCAGCCGCGGUAAUACGUAGGGUGCAAGCGUUCA
Molecule: ribosomal RNA, 512 nt
Filed under: Herbaspirillum huttiense
Lineage: Bacteria; Pseudomonadati; Pseudomonadota; Betaproteobacteria; Burkholderiales; Oxalobacteraceae
Description: bacterial SSU rRNA
Rfam family: Bacterial small subunit ribosomal RNA
Source: RNAcentral